Molecule: ribosomal RNA, 550 nt
Filed under: Rhizophagus sp. (in: glomeromycetes)
Lineage: Eukaryota; Fungi; Glomeromycota; Glomeromycetes; Glomerales; Glomeraceae
Also listed under: 1 other name
Description: SSU rRNA
Rfam family: Eukaryotic small subunit ribosomal RNA
Source: RNAcentral
UUGGAGGGCCAGUCUGGUGCCAGCAGCCCGCGGUAAUUCCAGCUCCAAUAGCGUAUAUUAAAGUUGUUGCAGUUAAAAAGCUCGUAGUUGAAUUUCGGGGUUAGUAGGUUGGUCAUGCCUCUGGUAUGUACUGGUCUCACUGAUUCCUCCUUCCUUAUGAACCGUAAUGCCAUUAAUUUGGUGUUGCGGGGAAUUUGGACUGUUACUUUGAAAAAAUUAGAGUGUUUAAAGCAAGCUAACGCUUGAAUACAUUAGCAUGGAAUAAUGAAAUAGGACGUUCGAUCUUAUUUUGUUGGUUUCUAGGAUUGACGUAAUGAUUAAUAGGGAUAGUUGGGGGCAUUAGUAUCCAAUUGUCAGAGGUGAAAUUCUUGGAUUUAUUGAAGACUAACUACUGCGAAAGCAUUUGCCAAGGAUGUUUUCAUUAAUCAAGAACGAAAGUUAGGGGAUCGAAGACGAUCAGAUACCGUCGUAGUCUUAACCAUAAACUAUGCCGACUAGGGAUCGGAUGAUGUUAAUUUUUUAAUGACUCAUUCGGCGCCUUACGGGAAAC